This 2621-nucleotide long non-coding RNA is filed under the name Volvox carteri. RNAcentral describes it as "long non-coding RNA (VCAR_LNC003562)". Lineage: Eukaryota; Viridiplantae; Chlorophyta; Chlorophyceae; Chlamydomonadales; Volvocaceae. The record is from RNAcentral.
UGUACAGCCAAGCGCGGACCACUAUACGGACAGAACACGGCCACACAGCGCCAAUAAUGAUCGAACGAGGCACAGUACAGGGGGACACGCUCUCGCCGGUGCUAUUCAUUAUUUUCCUCGAACCACUCCUCCGAUGGCUCCACGCUGGCGGACGAGGGUACAAAUACGGCUGCCUCCCCGACAGCUUGAACGCCAGGUACCAUGGAAGCUCAGCUGCCUACGACCUCGCCGUGAUGACCAACAGCACACAAGACCUACAAAUACAAUGCGACAAGAUCAGCUUGUACUCGAAAUGGGCGGGCCUACACGUGAAUCACAAAAAAUGCGCAGUGACAGGCAUCCUGCACCACAGGGCAUGGGCCGACCGAGGCCUGAACGGACCCACGUGUGCACGCACCCUCAAGGCAGCCUUGGAUGAAAAAAUCAAAAUCAGCGACCAGUCAGUGCCGUACCUACCCCCCACGGAACCCUACAAGUACCUUGGGGUCCACGUAACACUGACCCUCAACUGGAGCGCACAGAUGUCCCACGUCUGUAAGGCGGUGAGGGACAAGGGCGACCUACUUCAGGGAUCCCUAGCAUCGCCGGACCAAUGUAUCAGAAUCAUACAGACUUGUAUACAAGCGGUAGUGUCAUACAGCUUCUCCACCAUGGCAUACACUCCUAAUGAUAUCAGACUUUUGGAUGCGAUGAUCGCACGAGCAGCCCGACGCUGCUACCGCUUGCCCACCAGUUUUCCCACACGCGCCGUGCUGCUACCGGUGGAACAAUAUGGACUCGGCGUUGGGUCCCUACUACCGAUCUAUGUGCGCAUGGCAGCUCGCGCGCUGGUCCUCUCCCUGAAUGACGAAGGCCGGCUAGGCGUCGUGACACGAGCCAUGCUUGAGCUGCAGUGUCGCCUGGCGGCCGACACUAGGAUGCACACGUUGAAACGAGAGAGCAGUUUCUACACGACCCUGAAACAGCUGACCCUGGCGCGAGACCAUGGCAUCGCGGUCACCGACAAAGGGAUGCCGUAUAACACAUCCCUAAACACUCUCAUGACGGCCGCCUCNNNNNNNNNNNNNNNNNNNNNNNNNNNNNNNNNNNNNNNNNNNNNNNNNNCUGACCCUUUUACUUUAACAAGUGUGUCCACACCUGGCCCGCAAUAAAACACCGGGGCCCGAUGGGAUACCUAACGAGCUACUGAGAGCAUUGCCCACUGCCUUACAGUCCACCAUCCACGACCUCCUGAAAGUCAUGUGGGCCCAGGCCCGCACGCCAAAGCAAUGGACUGAAUCCGUUACGGUCCUUCUACCAAAAGCAGGAGAUGCGCUCCUCCUGAACAACAAGCGACCCAUUGCCCUCGCCAACACUCUUUAUAAGUUAUGGACUAGCCUCGUCACAGUGUCCAUCGGGGACGUCGCUCCCGAACUCGCGUUGUUUAGCGAGGCGCAAGAAGGGUUCCUCCGGUACAGAAACACGGAACGGCAAAUCCAAAACCUGCUCCACGUCAUUGAGGAUGCUGGGCUCACACGCAAAGAUCUCUACCUGCUAUACGUCGACUUCUCCUCGGCAUUCAACACCAUCAACCACGACCUGCUGCUACAGAUCAUGUACGACCUAGGGCUACCCGAGGACCUCAUCUAUGUCGUACGGGACCUGUACAGCCAAGCGCGGACCACUAUACGGACAGAACACGGCCACACAGCGCCAAUAAUGAUCGAACGAGGCACAGUACAGGGGGACACGCUCUCGCCGGUGCUAUUCAUUAUUUUCCUCGAACCACUCCUCCGAUGGCUCCACGCUGGCGGACGAGGGUACAAAUACGGCUGCCUCCCCGACAGCUUGAACGCCAGGUACCAUGGAAGCUCAGCUGCCUACGACCUCGCCGUGAUGACCAACAGCACACAAGACCUACAAAUACAAUGCGACAAGAUCAGCUUGUACUCGAAAUGGGCGGGCCUACACGUGAAUCACAAAAAAUGCGCAGUGACAGGCAUCCUGCACCACAGGGCAUGGGCCGACCGAGGCCUGAACGGACCCACGUGUGCACGCACCCUCAAGGCAGCCUUGGAUGAAAAAUCAAAAUCAGCGACCAGUCAGUGCCGUACCUNNNNNNNNNNNNNNNNNNNNNNNNNNNNNNNNNNNNNNNNNNNNNNNNNNAGGUGCAGCACCGGCACAAGAUCGCCUUGAAUCGACUAAGCCUAGCGAUAAGUGCCCAAUGCCCCCAAGCUCCACACACGAAGGCACAUGACCCACGUCGCUGGUCGUCCGCGCUGCCUCUGGAAGACAGACGCCUCCGCGAGAUCCCCAGUGACCCUCCGUACACCGGUCUCCGGCACAAAUCAAGUCUCCCCAACCCGAUACUAGCACCAUCCCUCGACCCACAUGUACGCCGCGACACACCUAUAGUGUGGAGCACGACCACGGAGAAGCCACACCACCCCCGCGCAGAGCCAGACGACAUGGAGAGUGACCCACCAGCGCCGCCGAGCCACCCUGCGGAACCAGCAUGCACAGGACGGAAACGCACAAGAUCCGUCCACCAGCGGCAACAGGAUUUCAUCAACAACAAUACACGCUGUGACAACAGUAACGUGGGAACAGAUAGUGCAGCUAUACAUGGCGUGCAACUCCGC